AUUGAACGCUGGCGGCAGGCCUAACACAUGCAAGUCGAGCGGAUGAAGGGAGCUUGCUCCUGGAUCCAGCGGCGGACGGGUGAGUAAUGCCUAGGAAUCUGCCUGGUAGUGGGGGAUAACGUCCGGAAACGGGCGCUAAUACCGCAUACGUCCUGAGGGAGAAAGUGGGGGAUCUUCGGACCUCACGCUAUCAGAUGAGCCUAGGUCGGAUUAGCUAGUUGGUGGGGUAAAGGCCUACCAAGGCGACGAUCCGUAACUGGUCUGAGAGGAUGAUCAGUCACACUGGAACUGAGACACGGUCCAGACUCCUACGGGAGGCAGCAGUGGGUAAUAUUGGACAAUGGGCGAAAGCCUGAUCCAGCCAUGCCGCGUGUGUGAAGAAGGUCUUCGGAUUGUAAAGCACUUUAAGUUGGGAGGAAGGGCAGUAAGUUAAUACCUUGCUGUUUUGACGUUACCAACAGAAUAAGCACCGGCUAACUUCGUG
RNAcentral lists this ribosomal RNA (484 nucleotides) under uncultured bacterium. RNAcentral's name for it is "partial 16S ribosomal RNA". It matches the Rfam family "Bacterial small subunit ribosomal RNA", at positions 30 to 507 of the family's 1533-position model. The record is from RNAcentral.